RNAcentral lists this ribosomal RNA (448 nucleotides) under uncultured bacterium. RNAcentral's name for it is "bacterial SSU rRNA". It matches the Rfam family "Bacterial small subunit ribosomal RNA", at positions 330 to 793 of the family's 1533-position model. The record is from RNAcentral.
GCCAGACUCCUACGGGAGGCAGCAGUGGGGAAUAUUGCACAAUGGGGGGAACCCUGAUGCAGCGACGCCGCGUGAGUGAAGAAGUAUCUCGGUACGUAAAGCUCUAUCAGCAGGGAAGAAAAUGACGGUACCUGACUAAGAAGCCCCGGCUAACUACGUGCCAGCAGCCGCGGUAAUACGUAGGGGGCAAGCGUUAUCUGGAUUCACUGGGUGUAAAGGGAGCGUAGACGGCGACGCAAGUCUGGAGUGAAAGCCCGGGGCCCAACCCCGGGACUGCUCUGGAAACUGCGUCGCUGGAGUACGGGAGGGGCAGGCGGAAUUCCUGGUGUAGCGGUGAAAUGCGUAGAUAUCAGGAGGAACACCGGUGGCGAAGGCGGCCUGCUGGACUGCAACUGACGUUGAGGCCCGAAAGCGUGGGGAGCAAACAGGAUUAGAUACCCCAGUAUCG